UACGGAGGAUGCGAGCGUUAUCCGGAUUUAUUGGGUUUAAAGGGUGCGUAGGCGGGAUGCCAAGUCAGCGGUAAAAAUGCGGUGCUCAACGCCGUCGAGCCGUUGAAACUGGCGUUCUUGAGUGGGCGAGAAGUAUGCGGAAUGCGUGGUGUAGCGGUGAAAUGCAUAGAUAUCACGCAGAACUCCGAUUGCGAAGGCAGCAUACCGGCGCCCUACUGACGCUGAGGCACGAAAGCGUAGGUAUCGAACAGG
Molecule: ribosomal RNA, 252 nt
Filed under: uncultured bacterium
Lineage: Bacteria
Description: partial 16S ribosomal RNA
Rfam family: Bacterial small subunit ribosomal RNA
Source: RNAcentral